This 551-nucleotide ribosomal RNA is filed under the name uncultured bacterium. Its description in RNAcentral is "partial 16S ribosomal RNA". It matches the Rfam family "Bacterial small subunit ribosomal RNA", at positions 355 to 920 of the family's 1533-position model. The record is from RNAcentral.
UGGGGAAUAUUGCACAAUGGGCGAAAGCCUGAUGCAGCAACGCCGCGUGAGUGAUGAAGGUCUUCGGAUUGUAAAGCUCUGUCUUUUGGGACGAUAAUGACGGUACCAAAGGAGGAAGCCACGGCUAACUACGUGCCAGCAGCCGCGGUAAUACGUAGGUGGCGAGCGUUGUCCGGAUUUACUGGGCGUAAAGGGUGCGUAGGCGGAUGUUUAAGUGAGAUGUGAAAUACCCGGGCUUAACUCGGGUGCUGCAUUUCAAACUGGAUAUCUAGAGUGCAGGAGAGGAGAAUGGAAUUCCUAGUGUAGUGGUGAAAUGCGUAGAGAUUAGGAAGAACACCAGUGGCGAAGGCGAUUCUCUGGACUGUAACUGACGCUGAGGCACGAAAGCGUGGGUAGCAAACAGGAUUAGAUACCCUGGUAGUCCACGCCGUAAACGAUGAGUACUAGGUGUAGGAGGUAUCGACCCCUUCUGUGCCGCAGUAAACACAUUAAGUACUCCGCCUGGGAAGUACGAUCGCAAGAUUAAAACUCUAAAGUGAAUUGACGGGGUC